GUUAUUUACAGACCAAUCAAAGGAGAAACAAUUUACACAAGCAAAACUUUCAGCAUCAUAAACUCUAACAGCGGCAUCGUUGUUUGCGGUCAUAAUCCUCAGUGAGCCAUUGUGGUUAUGGUAUAUAUUCACUGCAUUGGUAAUGGCAUUUUCAUCUGUUGUUACUUUGGUACAGAACGCAACUCCACGUUGAUUCAAAUAUCUGCAAAUAAGUUCCCCUUGAAAACCACCAGCAACGAGCAAGUUUUCUUUAACAGCCAUAGUGCUUAUUUGCACUCUUGAGAGUGACUGAGACAACAACCCUGGGCGUUUCAUGGUAGGAACAAUUGGAGUAGCCACAUUGAGUACUUCUUUGCCUCUACGCAAUAAUGAUGACCAGUGCAUUACUGAGUAAUUUUGCAUAAGGUAUACAUCAUGCUUUGAUGUUGCCCAUAUAAGAUUCCUCAACUGAAAAUGCACAAUUGUGGAUUUGACAAGCCUUGUGUUGAACUGGAAGUCAUAAAAGGUCUUUCCCUUCUCUACUUGCAAGCACUCCUUGUCUAGCCCUUCGCGAGAGCGAGAGAGGUUCUCGUAGUUCUUAUACUGCUUUAAUCUAGCCUCACGAUACUUAUCCCUAGUGAAAUUAAGCCUUUCCCAGGGAAUUCCCUGUAUAUCUUUUCCAUUUCUAGCCUCCACAGCAGAGGUAUCUGUGUUUGAUUUACUCGACUCGAAAUCGUCUUCAAUGUCGGAGUCCACGGAAUCCAAAUCUGCAACUCUGUGAGGUUCGGGUUCAAGGAAAGGGUUAUCUUCGAAAUCAACGAAGUCGUAAUAAUCAUCGCCAAGGUAUUCGAGAUGAUCGCUGUGGAAGUAAUCCAUCACCCGUUAAAUUUGGUGGAUGAAGAGGUCUGAAAAUAUAAAAACAGAUGGAAAAAAGGAGAGCAAUUUCCCGAUGGUUUACCCAGAAAAAAACAGAAAAAAAAUUAUCUACGAUCAGAAAUUUUGGUUGGCUUCGGAAGGAAAGGGUUGAUUACGGUUACCGGUAGCGGGGAAGGAGAGAAUCAAUGUCAAAUUAGUAAAAGAGUGACAAAUCUGAGAAGCGUUUUGAAC
RNAcentral lists this unclassified non-coding RNA (1086 nucleotides) under Hevea brasiliensis (rubber tree). The record is from RNAcentral. Lineage: Eukaryota; Viridiplantae; Streptophyta; Magnoliopsida; Malpighiales; Euphorbiaceae.